CUCAGCCCAGGUCUGAUCCUACAGCAAAUCUAAAGGUCAGGGAGCUUUUCCAAUAAUCAGCAGGUUUAACAGUCCUGGUUUUGUAUUUUCCAGAAAUUGUCCCUAAGGUGUUCCACGAGACUGAUCUCCAUAGGAGGACCAAGUCACAAACUACAAGUGAGUCCUGUGCUGUGACGAAUGCAAGAAAGGACACUGAGAAUUAGACACCGGGUCUUUACUGCUGUCCGAUGC
Molecule: long non-coding RNA, 231 nt
Filed under: Bos taurus (domestic cattle)
Lineage: Eukaryota; Metazoa; Chordata; Mammalia; Artiodactyla; Bovidae
Description: long non-coding RNA NONBTAT017557
Source: RNAcentral